AUGGGGAAUGGCGGUUCAGUUGUGGGCAUGGUCCGGGGAUUUGGUGUUGGCGGCCUAGCGCCUGUGCCGGUCGGCAUGGUCCAUGGACAAAUGAACACCGCGCGGCAGGGGCAGCAGCCUGGCCCAAUGAUGUACCCGAUGGCACCGACCAACGCCAUGUUCCCAGUGAUGGGCAACGACAUGGGGUUCGUCCCCAAUGGGUACGCAGGGAUGGACGUUGUGACGCCGGCACCACCUCCUCUAGGUGGGGUAGGUAUCAUGAGCCCCGGGUCGUCAGACGGGAGGAGUGCCAUGACACAGGCUGACAUGAUGAACUGCAUGGGCGACAGAGCGAUGAUGGAAAACUGCGAUGCCCCGGAGGAUCAGUCCUGCAAGAGGAGCAUCGAGCGUCGCCACUGCCGUAUGAUCAAGAAUCGUGAGUCAUGCACGAUCGCUUAUACUGUGGAGCUUGAAGCUGAACUGAACCACCUCCAGGAGGAGAAAGCUCGUCUGAAAGCUGAGGAGCUGGUGGAGAAGAUGAUGGAACAGUCCAAGGAGAACGUGAACUCCAAGAAAGGUGGUGUCCUAUCGUGGCGCAACAGAAGCUGCAUCUGUCGAUCUACUUUCCCCCUCUGUCAUGACUUCCUGCUUGAUGGUCCGACUAGCCUUCAGUUGCGCUCCCUCGUUGGCCAACCAUGA
Molecule: ribosomal RNA, 678 nt
Filed under: Triticum aestivum (bread wheat)
Lineage: Eukaryota; Viridiplantae; Streptophyta; Magnoliopsida; Poales; Poaceae
Description: partial small subunit ribosomal RNA
Source: RNAcentral